This 77-nucleotide transfer RNA is filed under the name Deltaproteobacteria bacterium. Its description in RNAcentral is "tRNA-Asp". It matches the Rfam family "tRNA". Rfam says of the family: Transfer RNA (tRNA) molecules are approximately 80 nucleotides in length. The record is from RNAcentral. Lineage: Bacteria; Pseudomonadati; Myxococcota; Myxococcia.
AGGGCUGUGGUGUAGUUGGUCAACACAUCGGCCUGUCACGCCGAAGAUCGCGGGUUCAAGUCCCGUCAGUCCUGCCA